This 73-nucleotide transfer RNA is filed under the name Mesotaenium endlicherianum. Its description in RNAcentral is "tRNA-Phe (GAA) (tRNA-Phe-GAA-3-1)". It matches the Rfam family "tRNA". From Rfam's summary of the family: Transfer RNA (tRNA) molecules are approximately 80 nucleotides in length. Their secondary structure includes four short double-helical elements and three loops (D, anti-codon, and T loops). Lineage: Eukaryota; Viridiplantae; Streptophyta; Zygnematophyceae; Zygnematales; Mesotaeniaceae. The record is from RNAcentral.
GCCAGGAUAGCUCAGUCGGUAGAGCAAUGGACUGAAAAUCCAUGUGUCACCAGUUCAAACCUGGUUUCUGGCA